GAUGAACGCUGGCGGCGUGCCUAAUACAUGCAAGUCGAGCGAACAGAUGAGGAGCUUGCUCCUCUGACGUUAGCGGCGGACGGGUGAGUAACACGUGGAUAACCUACCUAUAAGACUGGGAUAACUUCGGGAAACCGGAGCUAAUACCGGAUAAUAUAUUGAACCGCAUGGUUCAAUAGUGAAAGACGGUUUUGCUGUCACUUAUAGAUGGAUCCGCGCCGCAUUAGCUAGUUGGUAAGGUAGCGGCUUACCAAGGCAACGAUGCGUAGCCGACCUGAGAGGGUGAUCGGCCACACUGGAACCGAGACACGGUCCAGACUCCUACGGGAGGCAGCAGUAGGGAAUCUUCCGCAAUGGGCGAAAGCCUGACGGAGCAACGCCGCGUGAGUGAUGAAGGUCUUCGGAUCGUAAAACGCUGUUAUUAGGGAAGAACAAAUGUGUAAGUAACUAUGCACGUCUUGACGGUACCUAAUCAGAAAGCCACAGCUAACUACGU
This 496-nucleotide ribosomal RNA is filed under the name uncultured bacterium. RNAcentral's name for it is "partial 16S ribosomal RNA". It matches the Rfam family "Bacterial small subunit ribosomal RNA", at positions 28 to 506 of the family's 1533-position model. The record is from RNAcentral.